This 682-nucleotide ribosomal RNA is filed under the name uncultured bacterium. RNAcentral's name for it is "bacterial SSU rRNA". It matches the Rfam family "Bacterial small subunit ribosomal RNA", at positions 9 to 676 of the family's 1533-position model. The record is from RNAcentral.
GAGUUUGAUCUUUGGCUCUCAUUGAACGCUGGCGGCAGGCCUAACACAUGCAAGUCCAACGGUAACAGGAAGCAGCUUGCUGCUUCCCUGACGAGUGGCGGACGGGUGAGUAAUGUCUGGGAAACUGCCUGAUGGAGGGGGAUAACUACUGGAAACGGUAGCUAAUACCGCAUAACGUCCUAAGACCAAAGAGGGGGACCUUCGGGCCUCUUGCCAUCGGAUGUGCCCAGAUGGGAUUAGCUAGUAGGUGGGGUAACGGCUCACCUAGGCGACGAUCCCUAGCUGGUCUGAGAGGAUGACCAGCCACACUGGAACUGAGACACGGUCCAGACUCCUACGGGAGGCAGCGUGGGGAAUAUUGCACAAUGGGCGCAAGCCUGAUGCAGCCAUGCCGCGUGUAUGAACAAGGCCUUCGGGUUGUAAAGUACUUUCAGCGGGGAGGAAGGCGAUAAGGUUAAUAACCUUGUCCAUUGACGUUACGCGCAUAAGAAACACCGGCUAUCUCCUUGCCAGCUGCCGCGGGAAUACCAGAGGGUGCAAGCGUUAAUCGGAAUUACUGAGCGUAUAGCGCACGUCCGCGGUCUGUCAAGUCGGAUGUGAAAUCCCCGGCGCUCACCCUGGGAACUGCAUUCGAAACUGGUCACGCUAGAGUCUUGUAUAGGGGGGGUACAAUUCCAGGUGU